CGGCGGACGGGUGAGUAAUGUAUGGGGAUCCGCCUGAUGGCGGGGGAUAACUACUGGAAACGGUAGCUAAUACCGCAUAAUGUCUACGGACCAAAGCGGGGGACCUCCGGGGCCUCGCGCCAUCAGAUGAACCCAUAUGGGAUUAGCUAGUAGGUAAGGUAACGGCUUACCUAGGCGACGAUCCCUAGCUGGUCUGAGAGGAUGAUCAGCCACACUGGGACUGAGACACGGCCCAG
RNAcentral lists this ribosomal RNA (236 nucleotides) under uncultured bacterium. RNAcentral's name for it is "partial 16S ribosomal RNA". It matches the Rfam family "Bacterial small subunit ribosomal RNA", at positions 96 to 334 of the family's 1533-position model. The record is from RNAcentral.